Non-coding RNA from Nicotiana tabacum (common tobacco), 408 nucleotides. Lineage: Eukaryota; Viridiplantae; Streptophyta; Magnoliopsida; Solanales; Solanaceae. The record is from RefSeq and is a predicted model, not a curated record.
CUCUAUCUCUCUCUCUCCUCCGUAAGAACAAGAAGCUGAAGUUUCAUCAAAAAAAAAAAACCAUGGAUUUCUACUAAAUCAACGCACAAAAUUCGUUUUUGGUGAAGAUCAAGUUGCUCCUCUUGGUAUAUAAACCCUUGAAAAAAAUCAAAGGGGAAGUGUUUGAGGAAGUGGACAGAUUUGGUUUGUUUACGGCGUAGACGAUUCGAACGUCCCCAAGUUGUGAUUGAACUGUUUUGUGGUAAAACACCAAGGAAAUGUUCGGGAUGAAAUCUGAAGAUGGCCAGGGUGAAGUAGUCUCUUUGGGAGAAUUUAUGGAGAUCACAUUUGCAUAUGCACCUUGGUUUGCAUAGUUUUGGGACAUGUACAUGAUAUACAUGAUAUACAUGAUAUACCUGAUAUAUAUGU